Molecule: non-coding RNA, 133 nt
Organism: Triticum aestivum (bread wheat)
Lineage: Eukaryota; Viridiplantae; Streptophyta; Magnoliopsida; Poales; Poaceae
Source: Rfam
AACAUACUCCCUCCGUCCGAAAGAACUUGUCAUCAAAAUGGGCAAAAAGGGGUGUAUUGAACUAAAAUACAUCUAGAUACAUCCCUUUUUAUUCAUUUUGAUGACAAGUAUUUCCGGACGGAGGGAGUAUAUU